ACAGAUGUUGAAAUCACGCAUGGGGAUGGCUCUGGCCCUGGUGGUACUGCAGCCCCUGCAGCCGGGGUGGGAGGAUCUGGUGACAUCUGAUCAUGGGGCUCUCAGUGACUUGGAAAACCUCCCUGGACAAACCAGUCCAGGGGCAAGAGCACUUCUGGCCUGGGGUGGGCAGAGAAGCAGGGGCUCUUCUCUGGGUGGGUUCUACUCUCCAGGUCCUGGCUGAUGCUUACUCACGCUGGCGGGAGUGCCGGGGAACAAGGUGAACCUUGGCUCCACAGGCAUGAUAAAGCAGAUGGGAGGUGGGCCAAGGGGGUCUGUGGGGAACUUAGCCUGGGAUGAAGGACGGUUGGUGGAUGCUGCGAGGCCCAAGAGGGCUUCCUGGAGCAGGUAGAAACGGGAUGGAGAGGCUGGUAGGGGUGAAGAGGACCAGCAUUUGUUGAGCAUUUGCUGUGCACCAAGCACAAAACUAAAAAUUAGAAAUGAAUUCAUUCAGCAACUACUUACUGAGCACCUACUAUGUGUCAAGUACUGCCCUGGGCUCUGGGGAUAAUGCAAGGGAACAAAAGAGACAGAACCCCUGCCCUCAUUGAGCUCACAUUCUGGUGGAGGCAAGGGACAAUAAUCACAUAAGCAAAAAAAUACCAUGUUGGGUGGUGAUAUGUGUUACAGCGUAAGAGGCAGAUAGAAGGUCCGUCUCACUGAUGAGUGCCUGCUGUGUGCGCGUGCAGGCACUGGUCUGUGCUUUGCAACUGUGACUCCUGCUUCAGUGCUAGCUCACGUUGACUGACCACUUACCAUGUGCCUGGCACCGAUCUAAGUGUUUUCAAUGCAUUAACUCAUGUGAUCCUGAUGAAACAAUAGUGGGGAGGUGCUAUUAUUGUCAUCUCCAUUUUACAGAUGAAGAAAC
RNAcentral lists this long non-coding RNA (907 nucleotides) under Homo sapiens (human). Its description in RNAcentral is "HSALNT0263329". Lineage: Eukaryota; Metazoa; Chordata; Mammalia; Primates; Hominidae. The record is from RNAcentral.